UGGGGAAUAUUGGGCAAUGGGCGAAAGCCUGACCCAGCAACGCCGCGUGAGGGAAGAAGGUCUUCGGAUUGUAAACCUCUGUCCUUGGGGACGAAAAAAAUGACGGUACCCAAGGAGGAAGCCCCGGCUAACUACGUGCCAGCAGCCGCGGUAAUACGUAGGGGGCAAGCGUUGUCCGGAAUUACUGGGCGUAAAGGGUGCGUAGGCGGUUGCCUAAGUCAGAUGUGAAAUCCCCGGGCUUAACUCGGGUGGUGCAUUUGAAACUGGGCGGCUAGAGUGCAGGAGAGGGAAGCGGAAUUCCUAGUGUAGCGGUGAAAUGCGUAGAUAUUAGGAGGAACACCAGUGGCGAAGGCGGCUUUCUGGACUGUAACUGACGCUGAGGCACGAAAGCGUGGGGAGCAAACAG
This 406-nucleotide ribosomal RNA is filed under the name uncultured bacterium. Its description in RNAcentral is "bacterial SSU rRNA". It matches the Rfam family "Bacterial small subunit ribosomal RNA", at positions 355 to 775 of the family's 1533-position model. The record is from RNAcentral.